AGUGAACGCUGGCGGUAGGCCUAACACAUGCAAGUCGAACGGCAGCACAGGAGAGCUUGCUCUCUGGGUGGCGAGUGGCGGACGGGUGAGGAAUACAUCGGAAUCUGCCCAGUCGUGGGGGAUAACGUAGGGAAACUUACGCUAAUACCGCAUACGACCUUCGGGUGAAAGAGGGGGAUCGCAAGACCUCUCGCGAUUGGAUGAGCCGAUGUCGGAUUAGCUAGUUGGCGGGGUAAUGGCCCACCAAGGCGACGAUCCGUAGCUGGUCUGAGAGGAUGAUCAGCCACACUGGAACUGAGACACGGUCCAGACUCCUACGGGAGGCAGCAGUGGGGAAUAUUGGACAAUGGGCGCAAGCCUGAUCCAGCCAUACCGUGUGGGUGAAGAAGGCCUUCGGGUUGUAAAGCCCUUUUGUUGGGAAAGAAAUCUUUCAGGCUAAUACCCUGGGAGGAUGACGGUACCCAAAGAAUAAGCACCGGCUAACUUCGUG
This 490-nucleotide ribosomal RNA is filed under the name uncultured bacterium. RNAcentral's name for it is "partial 16S ribosomal RNA". It matches the Rfam family "Bacterial small subunit ribosomal RNA", at positions 29 to 507 of the family's 1533-position model. The record is from RNAcentral.